RNAcentral lists this ribosomal RNA (253 nucleotides) under uncultured bacterium. Its description in RNAcentral is "partial 16S ribosomal RNA". It matches the Rfam family "Bacterial small subunit ribosomal RNA", at positions 524 to 776 of the family's 1533-position model. The record is from RNAcentral.
UACGUAGGUGGCGAGCGUUGUCCGGAUUUAUUGGGCGUAAAGCGCGCGCAGGUGGUCCGUUAAGUCCUGUGUGAAAUCUCCCGGCUCACCCGGGAGGGGGCGCGGGAUACUGGGGGACUGGAGGCAGGUAGAGGCCGGUGGAAUUCCCGGUGUAGUGGUGAAAUGCGUAGAGAUCGGGAGGAACACCAGUGGCGAAGGCGACUUCUUGGCCUGUUCUUGACGCUGAGGCGCGAAAGCUGGGGGAGCAAACGGG